This 307-nucleotide ribosomal RNA is filed under the name uncultured bacterium. Its description in RNAcentral is "bacterial SSU rRNA". It matches the Rfam family "Bacterial small subunit ribosomal RNA", at positions 28 to 324 of the family's 1533-position model. The record is from RNAcentral.
GAUGAACGCUAGCUACAGGCUUAACACAUGCAAGUCGAGGGGAAACGACAUCGAAAGCUUGCUUUUGAUGGGCGUCGACCGGCGCACGGGUGAGUAACGCGUAUCCAACCUGCCCACCACUUGGGGAUAACCUUGCGAAAGUAAGACUAAUACCCAAUGACGUCUCUAGAAGACAUCUGAAAGGGAUUAAAGAUUUAUCGGUGAUGGAUGGGGAUGCGUCUGAUUAGCUUGUUGCGGGGUAACGCCCACCAAGGCAACGAUCAGUAGGGGGUUCUGAGAGGAAGGUCCCCCCACAUUGGAACUGAGC